CCUUCGGGUGUGUAUAAAGUGGCAAACGGGUGAGUAACACGUGGGAACGUACCCCGAGGUUCGGGACAACAGUUGGAAACGACUGCUAAUACCGGAUAAGGACUAUGGUCGAAAGAUUCAUCGCCUUGGGAUCGGCCCGCGCCGGAUUAGCUAGUUGGUGGGGUAAAAGCCUACCAAGGCUACAAUCCGUAGCUGGUCUGAGAGGACGACCAGCCACACUGGGACUGAGAUACGGCCCAGACUCC
This 245-nucleotide ribosomal RNA is filed under the name uncultured bacterium. RNAcentral describes it as "partial 16S ribosomal RNA". It matches the Rfam family "Bacterial small subunit ribosomal RNA", at positions 77 to 339 of the family's 1533-position model. The record is from RNAcentral.